GUGAUAAAAGAGUUUGUAGCCAAGGAAGGAGAGACUGUUGAACCGGGAACUAAGGUUGCUGUUGUUUCAAAGUCUGGUGAAGGUGUAGCUCAUGUUGCUCCCUCUGAGAAAAUAACAGAGAAACCUCCCCCUAAGAAGGAAUCUGCUCCUCAAGGAAAGAAAGAGGAAAAGCCUAAAGUUGAAACUGCUCCUGCAACAGAGAAGCCUAAAGCACCAGCACCAGCACCACCUAAACUCUCUGCAAGAGAACCUCAGCUUCCUCCUAAGGAAAGGGAAAGACGAGUUCCUAUGACAAGGCUCCGGAAAAGGGUUGCAACGCGAUUGAAGGACUCUCAAAACACAUUUGCAUUGUUAACUACAUUCAAUGAAGUUGACAUGACUAACUUGAUGAAGCUCCGUUCUGACUAUAAGGACGCUUUUGUUGAAAAGCAUGG
This 434-nucleotide unclassified non-coding RNA is filed under the name Hevea brasiliensis (rubber tree). The record is from RNAcentral. Lineage: Eukaryota; Viridiplantae; Streptophyta; Magnoliopsida; Malpighiales; Euphorbiaceae.